AGUGAACGCUGGCGGUAGGCCUAACACAUGCAAGUCGAACGGCAGCACAGUAAGAGCUUGCUCUUACGGGUGGCGAGUGGCGGACGGGUGAGGAAUACAUCGGAAUCUACUUUUUCGUGGGGGAUAACGCAGGGAAACUUACGCUAAUACCGCAUACGACCUACGGGUGAAAGCAGGGGAUCUUCGGACCUUGCGCGAUUGAAUGAGCCGAUGUCGGAUUAGCUAGUUGGCGGGGUAAAGGCCCACCAAGGCGACGAUCCGUAGCUGGUCUGAGAGGAUGAUCAGCCACACUGGAACUGAGACACGGUCCAGACUCCUACGGGAGGCAGCAGUGGGGAAUAUUGGACAAUGGGCGCAAGCCUGAUCCAGCCAUACCGCGUGGGUGAAGAAGGCCUUCGGGUUGAAAAGCCCUUUUGUUGGGAAAGAAAAGCAGCAGGUUAAUACCCCGCUGUUCUGACGGUACCCAAAGAAUAAGCACCGGCUAACUUCGUG
Molecule: ribosomal RNA, 492 nt
Filed under: uncultured bacterium
Lineage: Bacteria
Description: partial 16S ribosomal RNA
Rfam family: Bacterial small subunit ribosomal RNA
Source: RNAcentral